AUACGGAGGAUGCAAGCGUUAUCCGGAUUUAUUGGGUUUAAAGGGUGCGCAGGCGGCGCGAUAAGUCAGCGGUGAAAUGUACCGGCUCAACCGGUGAGCUGCCGUUGAUACUGUCGUGCUUGAGUGCGAGCGGCGCCGGCGGAAUGUGUGAUGUAGCGGUGAAAUGUAUAGAUAUCACACCAAACACCGAUCGCGAAGGCAGCUGGCGAGGACGUUAGUGACGCUGAGGCACGAAAGCGUGGGGAUCAAACAGGAUUAGAUCCCCUGGUAGUCCACGCAGUAAACGAUGAUGACUUGUUGUCGGCGACAGACAGUCGGUGACAAAGCGAAAGCGAUAAGUCAACCACCUGGGGAGUACGAUCGCAAGGUUGAAACUCAAAGGAAUUGACGGGG
This 393-nucleotide ribosomal RNA is filed under the name uncultured bacterium. Its description in RNAcentral is "partial 16S ribosomal RNA". It matches the Rfam family "Bacterial small subunit ribosomal RNA", at positions 523 to 918 of the family's 1533-position model. The record is from RNAcentral.